Molecule: long non-coding RNA, 247 nt
Filed under: Brassica napus (rape)
Lineage: Eukaryota; Viridiplantae; Streptophyta; Magnoliopsida; Brassicales; Brassicaceae
Description: long non-coding RNA (BNAP_LNC015865)
Source: RNAcentral
GGUGGCCUAAAGGCAAAAAUUAUAUUUCUCAGCGUACAAAUAUAAAUAUCUUAACUAAUUGCUGUAAAGCAUAUGCAUGAAUCAAAAGUUUGUACUGAACUGAAGAUAAUAAAAAAAUCAUACAGAGACUGUCAAAUGUAAAUGUUUUUCUAAAGGACGAAAUUAAGAGAAUCAAGCUUAAUAUUGCUAAGAGAUCAACACAUUACGUAUCUAUUAUAUUACUAAGAAAGCAUAAAAAAGUGGCCUU